RNAcentral lists this transfer RNA (74 nucleotides) under Candidatus Bathyarchaeota archaeon. Its description in RNAcentral is "tRNA-Thr". It matches the Rfam family "tRNA". Rfam says of the family: Transfer RNA (tRNA) molecules are approximately 80 nucleotides in length. Their secondary structure includes four short double-helical elements and three loops (D, anti-codon, and T loops). Further hydrogen bonds mediate the characteristic L-shaped molecular structure. tRNAs have two regions of fundamental functional importance: the anti-codon, which is responsible for specific mRNA codon recognition, and the 3' end, to which the tRNAs corresponding amino acid is attached (by aminoacyl-tRNA synthetases). tRNAs cope with the degeneracy of the genetic code in two manners: having more than one tRNA (with a specific anti-codon) for a particular amino acid; and 'wobble' base-pairing, i.e. permitting non-standard base-pairing at the 3rd anti-codon position. The record is from RNAcentral. Lineage: Archaea; Thermoproteati; Candidatus Bathyarchaeota.
GCCUCGGUAGCUCAGUCUUGUAGAGCGGCGGCCUCGUAAGCCGCAGGCCCCGGGAUCAAAGCCCGGCCGAGGCU